AAUCAAGCGCGAAAAGGGCGUUUGGUGAAUGCCUUGGCAGUAAGAGGCGAUGAAGGACGUGAUACUCUGCGAUAAGUUAUGGGGAGCUGAGAAUAAGCUUUGAUCCAUAAAUUUCCGAAUGGGGCAACCCACCUGAUACUUUGUUAUUAAUACUACUUAUUGUAGUGCCGUUUAAGGGUUCGCCCUUGGGUAGCGUUGCAUGCGGUGGGGCAUAAUAAUAGGGUAAACCAGGUAUUUAUAACUUGAAUACAUAGGGUUAUAAAAGCAAACCCGGGGAACUGAAACAUCUAAGUACCCGGAGGAAAGGACAUCAAUUAGAUACUCCCCUAGUAGCGGCGAGCGAACGGGGACCAGCCGAGCCAUGAGUGUGACUAGAAUGUGUUGGAAAGCACAACCAAAGUGGGUGACAGUCCCGUAUAGGAAGCAUGAUUGGACGUAUUAAGUAGGGCGGGACACGUGAAAUCCUGUUCGAAGAUCGGAGGACCACCUCCGAAGGCUAAGUACUCCUUACUGACCGAUAGUGAACCAGUACCGUGAGGGAAAGGUGAAAAGCACCCCGACGAGGGGAGUGAAACAGUUUCUGAAACCGGACGCCUACAAUCAGUUGGAGGGCCCUUGCGGCCUGACAGCGUACCUUUUGUAUAAUGGGUCAUCGACUUAGUGUAUCUAGCAAGCUUAAGCCGUUAGGUGUAGGCGCAGCGAAAGCGAGUCUUAAUAGGGCGAUUGAGUUAGAUGCAUUAGACCCGAAACCGAGUGAUCUAGGCAUGACCAGGUUGAAGGUUGGGUAACACCAACUGGAGGACCGAACCCACAUCUGUUGAAAAAGAUCGGGAUGAGUUGUGCCUAGGGGUGAAAGGCCAAUCAAACUCGGAGAUAGCUGGUUCUCCGCGAAAUCUAUUUAGGUAGAGCGUCAUCCGAAUACCCCGGGGGGUAGAGCACUGGAUGGGUAAUGGGGCCCCACAGGCUUACUGAUCCUAACCAAACUCCGAAUACCCGGGAGUAAUAGAUGGCAGACACACUGCGGGUGCUAACGCCCGUAGUGAAAAGGGAAACAACCCUGACCGACAGUUAAGGCCCCUAAUUCAUGGCUAAGUGGGAAAGCAGGUGGGACGACCAAAACAACCAGGAAGUUGGCUUAGAAGCAGCCAUCUUUUAAAGAUAGCGUAACAGCUCACUGGUCUAAUUAAGUUGUCCUGCGGCGAAGAUGUAACGGGGCUCAAGCCAUGAGCCGAAACUUCGGAUGCAUUUAAUGCAUGGUAGCGGAGCGUAGUGUGACAUAGUUCCAUGCGU
This 1290-nucleotide ribosomal RNA is filed under the name Planktomarina temperata. RNAcentral describes it as "partial 23S ribosomal RNA". It matches the Rfam family "Bacterial large subunit ribosomal RNA", at positions 1 to 1264 of the family's 2925-position model. Lineage: Bacteria; Pseudomonadati; Pseudomonadota; Alphaproteobacteria; Rhodobacterales; Paracoccaceae. The record is from RNAcentral.